GACAGUAUGGCCGAGUGGUUAAGGCGUUUGACUCGAAAUCAAAUGGACUUUGUCCGCACAGGUUCAAAUCCUGUUGCUGUCG
Ogataea parapolymorpha DL-1 is the source of this 82-nucleotide non-coding RNA. Lineage: Eukaryota; Fungi; Ascomycota; Pichiomycetes; Pichiales; Pichiaceae. The record is from the annotation of a RefSeq genome assembly.